This 650-nucleotide ribosomal RNA is filed under the name uncultured Alphaproteobacteria bacterium. Its description in RNAcentral is "bacterial SSU rRNA". It matches the Rfam family "Bacterial small subunit ribosomal RNA", at positions 1 to 692 of the family's 1533-position model. The record is from RNAcentral. Lineage: Bacteria; Pseudomonadati; Pseudomonadota; Alphaproteobacteria.
AGAGGGUUUGAUCCUGGCUCAGAACGAACGCUGGCGGCAGGCCUAACACAUGCAAGUCGAGCGCACCUUCGGGUGAGCGGCGGACGGGUGAGUAACGCGUGGGAAUAUGCCCUUCUCUACGGAAUAGCCUCGGGAAACUGAGAGUAAUACCGUAUACGCCCUUCGGGGGAAAGAUUUAUCGGUGAAGGAUUAGCCCGCGUUGGAUUAGGUAGUUGGUGGGGUAAAAGCCUACCAAGCCGACGAUCCAUAGCUGGUUUGAGAGGAUGAUCAGCCACACUGGGACUGAGACACGGCCCAGACUCCUACGGGAGGCAGCAGUGGGGAAUCUUAGACAAUGGGGGAAACCCUGAUCUAGCCAUGCCGCGUGAGUGACGAAGGCCUUAGGGUCGUAAAGCUCUUUCGCCAGGGAAGAUAAUGACGGUACCUGGUAAAGAAACCCCGGCUAACUCCGUGCCAGCAAGCCGCGGUUAAUUACGGAGGGGGUUAGCGUUGUUCGGAAUUACUGGGCGUAAAGCGCACGUAGGCGGACUUAUUAAGUUAGGGGUGGAAAUCCCAAGGGGCUCAACCCUGGGAACUGCCUCUUAAUACUGGGUAGUCUUUGAGUUCGAGAGAGGUGAGUGGAAUUCCGAGUGGUAGAGGUGAAAUUCCUU